Molecule: ribosomal RNA, 390 nt
Filed under: uncultured organism
Description: bacterial SSU rRNA
Rfam family: Bacterial small subunit ribosomal RNA
Source: RNAcentral
UGCUUAACACAUGCAAGUCGAACGAUGAACCCGGAGCUUGCUCCGGCGGAUUAGUGGCGAACGGGUGAGUAACACGUGAGUAACCUGCCCUUGACUCUGGGAUAACUGCUAGAAAUGGUAGCUAAUACCGGAUACGACCCUCGGAGGCAUCUCCAGGGGGUGGAAAGAAUUUCGGUCAAGGAUGGACUCGCGGCCUAUCAGCUAGUUGGUGAGGUAAAAGCUCACCAAGGCAAUGACGCCUAGGGGACCUGAGAGGGUGACCCCCACCGAUGGAACUGAGACACGGUCCAUACACCUACGGGUGGCCGCAGUCGAGAAUCUUCCGCAAUGGACGAAAGUCUGACGGAGCGACGCCGCGUGCAGGAUGAAGUCCUUCGGGAUGUAAACUGC